UACGGGGGGGGCAAGCGUUGUUCGGAAUUACUGGGCGUAAAGGGCUCGUAGGCGGCCAACUAAGUCGGAUGUGAAAUCCCCAGGCUUAACCUGGGAACUGCAUCUGAUACUGGAUGGCUUGAAUCCGGGAGAGGGAUGCGGAAUUCCUGGUGUAGCGGUGAAAUGCGCAGAUAUCAGGAGGAACACCGGUGGCGAAGGCGGGUCUCUGGGCCGACACUGACGCUGAGGAGCGAAAGCGUGGGGAGCGAACAGG
RNAcentral lists this ribosomal RNA (253 nucleotides) under uncultured bacterium. RNAcentral's name for it is "partial 16S ribosomal RNA". It matches the Rfam family "Bacterial small subunit ribosomal RNA", at positions 524 to 776 of the family's 1533-position model. The record is from RNAcentral.